AACGCACCUUGCGCUCCUUGGUAUUCCUUGGAGCAUGCCUGUUUGAGUAUCAUGAAAUCUUCAAAGUAAACCUUUUUGUUAACUCAAUUUGGUUUCACUUUGGUAUUGGAGGUUCUUGCAGCUUCACACGCUGCUCCUCUUUGUUCAUUAGCUGGAUCUCAGUGUUAUGCUUGGUUCCACUCGGCGUGAUAAAUUAUCUAUCGCUGAGGACACCCGAUAAAAAGGUUGGCCAAGGUAAAUGCAGAUGAACCGCUUCUAAUAGUCCAUUGACUUGGACAAUAAAAUUAUUAUUAUUUUAUGAUCUGAUCUCAAAUCAGGUAGGACUACCCGCUGAACUUAA
RNAcentral lists this unclassified non-coding RNA (340 nucleotides) under uncultured Ceratobasidiaceae. RNAcentral describes it as "sequence contains ITS2". Lineage: Eukaryota; Fungi; Basidiomycota; Agaricomycetes; Cantharellales; Ceratobasidiaceae. The record is from RNAcentral.